This 58-nucleotide transfer RNA is filed under the name Loxodonta africana (African savanna elephant). The record is from Rfam by way of RNAcentral. Lineage: Eukaryota; Metazoa; Chordata; Mammalia; Proboscidea; Elephantidae.
UAGUGUAGUGGUUAUCAUGUUCGCCUAACACGCGACAGGUCCCUGGUUCGAAACCAGG